UACGAAGGGGGCUAGCGUUGCUCGGAAUGACUGGGCGUAAAGGGCGCGUAGGCGGUUUGUACAGUCAGAUGUGAAAUUCCUGGGCUCAACCUGGUGGCUGCAUUUGAUACGUGCGGACUUGAGUGAGGAAGAGGGUCGUGGAAUUCCCAGUGUAGAGGUGAAAUUCGUAGAUAUUGGGAAGAACACCGGUGGCGAAGGCGGCGACCUGGUCCUUGACUGACGCUGAGGCGCGAAAGCGUGGGGAGCAAACAGG
RNAcentral lists this ribosomal RNA (253 nucleotides) under uncultured bacterium. Its description in RNAcentral is "partial 16S ribosomal RNA". It matches the Rfam family "Bacterial small subunit ribosomal RNA", at positions 524 to 776 of the family's 1533-position model. The record is from RNAcentral.